CUGCAACUUCUGCCCAAGGGACUUUCAGAAUUGCCAUGGACAGGGCCUGCCUGGUGGCCCUCCCUGUGAGAAGGUAUUCUUCCUGCUCCAUUGACAUCAGGCUUAUUAGCCAUGUUUCUGGAUUUGGUCCAUUUCAUCAUAAAGAGAACAUGGAGCAGGGCUGCAGCUGAUCUUCAAAGGGCAUGAACACAAGCCAGAGAGAAGCCGUUAUUGUUGUAAGCCCUGAAGAUUUGGGGGAUAUUAUUGCAACACAACUCAGCCCAAGCUGACUAAUACAACAAGUUUCUAUGUAUACAUGGAAAUGUAUGUAAUCUUAGCCUCAAAAAAAAAAAAAAGAAAAAAAGAGUAUCUGAAAAUCCCAGGAUACUCGGGGCUCA
Molecule: long non-coding RNA, 377 nt
Filed under: Homo sapiens (human)
Lineage: Eukaryota; Metazoa; Chordata; Mammalia; Primates; Hominidae
Description: non-protein coding lnc-KHDRBS3-4:6
Source: RNAcentral